GGAUAGUGUAGCUCAAAUGGUAGAGCGCUACAUAAAAAAGAUGUCUUGUAAAAGACGUUAACAGCAAUCAACCUUUAGACGUAGAUGUUGCAAGUUCGAUUCUUGCCACUAUCCA
RNAcentral lists this transfer RNA (115 nucleotides) under Clostridium sp. 'deep sea'. RNAcentral's name for it is "tRNA-OTHER". It matches the Rfam family "tRNA". Rfam says of the family: Transfer RNA (tRNA) molecules are approximately 80 nucleotides in length. Their secondary structure includes four short double-helical elements and three loops (D, anti-codon, and T loops). The record is from RNAcentral. Lineage: Bacteria; Bacillati; Bacillota; Clostridia; Eubacteriales; Clostridiaceae.